RNAcentral lists this non-coding RNA (28 nucleotides) under Homo sapiens (human). Lineage: Eukaryota; Metazoa; Chordata; Mammalia; Primates; Hominidae. The record is from RNAcentral.
UUCCUCUCAGUGUUAGUGAUGGAACGGC